GACGUAGGGCGCGAGCGUUGUCCGGAUUUAUUGGGCGUAAAGAGCUCGUAGGCGGCUCGUUGCGUCGGCUGUGAAAACCCGCAGCUCAACUGUGGGCUUGCAGCUGAUACGGGCGGGCUGGAGUUCGGUAGGGGAGACUGGAAUUCCCGGUGUAGCGGUGAAAUGCGCAGAUAUCGGGAGGAACACCGGUGGCGAAGGCGGCCUUCUGGACCAAUACUGACGCUCAUGCACGAAAGCGUGGGGAGCAAACAGG
This 253-nucleotide ribosomal RNA is filed under the name uncultured bacterium. RNAcentral's name for it is "partial 16S ribosomal RNA". It matches the Rfam family "Bacterial small subunit ribosomal RNA", at positions 524 to 776 of the family's 1533-position model. The record is from RNAcentral.